Molecule: long non-coding RNA, 4926 nt
Filed under: Lupinus angustifolius (narrow-leaved blue lupine)
Lineage: Eukaryota; Viridiplantae; Streptophyta; Magnoliopsida; Fabales; Fabaceae
Description: long non-coding RNA (LANG_LNC002284)
Source: RNAcentral
UGAAGUUGAAGUAGCUUUUUGUGUUGUGUCUCAUUGAACAGGAUCUUAGUUGUAAUAAUAAUGGGUGGAGUUACCUCAUCCAUGGCUUCAAAACUUGCAUUCUUCCCACCAAACCCACCUUCUUACAACCUUGUCAAAGAAGAAGUAACAAAGCUUUUGCUCUUAAACCCAUUCCCACACCGUGAAAACGUUCAAGUUCUCAAGUUCCAAAACCGUCGCGGAAAUGAGAUCGUGGCUAUGUAUGUUAGCUACUCUAUGGCAAAAACAACUAUCCUUUAUUCUCAUGGUAACGCUGCUGAUAUUGGUCAGAUGUAUGAGCUCUUCAUCGAGUUGAGCAUUCACUUGCGUGUUAAUAUCAUGGGGUACUUCAAUUUUUCAUUUUUCCUCUUUUUACUCCAUAUAAAAAUUCAAUUUUUUUAUUUUACUUUUGGAAUUUUGUGAAGUGGUUUUAUAAUUUACAUACCCUUUUGGAUUCUGUACAUGUAAUAGGUGUUUUUAUGUGAUUGGUAGUUGUAAUUUUUUUAGCUAAAUUUUGGUGGUGGUGUGUGUGCCACUGUGCCUUUUGGGUACAAGUUCAGUACUUCAGUAGUGUUGAUUCAGCUCUGGGGAAGCUUGGUUGGACUGUUUUUUCUUGGAUUUACCAGGUUCUGAUGUUGAUGGAUUUGUUGAUAUGAAUAAUUUAUUGACUUUAUUAAGGUUUGAUUAGUUAAAUAUGUGAUCAAUUUUGUCUACUAAGAAGGUUAGGGGCAAAUUGUAAUUUUCUGGUUCUGGUUCCUCUACAGACCUGCAUCAACAGUAUUAUAAAUUUAUGAUGUGAAUGCUGAGCCAUAUGUUUUUUCUGUGGUUCUAGCGUCUUUGGAAUUUAGUGAUUUGGAGGUGUGGGUGUAGUAUACUAGUAUUCCAUCAUUUUCAAUAAUAAUUUACUAUCAGCUAAGUUGGAUAUUUUUUAGGUUGUUCCAGAAAUUGAUGUGACAUCAGUUAAGCUCAAUGGCAGGUUUUAUGUAUUGCAGGAAGUGCGAUUUUUUGUCCACAGUGUGACCAAAGCAUUUUUUUCCCGAUCUAUCAUUAGCAGAUAUUCUUGAUGUUUUAACUUAUAAGUGUUGCAUAAAUUGGUUUGUAUGGUUGAAUUGCUAGCUUCUAAACAUUGCCAUUCCCCCUUCAAGACCUUGACUUUAAGUCCAUAUAGUUUGACGGCUUACAUCUAAUUUAGAGCUUGCAGUAACAACUCCGAUGCCUGAUACAAAUGAAAUUGUAAACUCUGGUGCAUUGGUUUUGAAAUAAUGAUGAAGGAAACUUAUGCUGGAGUUACCUUGAUAUACUAAUGAUAUACAUUCAAGCAUUUAGAGUUCGGACACAAAUAUACUAUGUUCACUUUUUGCCCUCUAACAGUUAUGUUUGAGACAGUACUUUUUGAAUUGCCCAUCUAUUAAUCAUCCUCGUUUAAAUUACUCCAAAAAGGAUCCACUUACAGAAAAUGAUAAAGGAACGUUAAAGUACUAUACCUGCUUGUCACAUGAUAGUUGUCUUUGUUAACACAUUUUCUAGUCAGAUUUUAUUAUGUUAAUGAUGUUUUGAAGCACCUUGUUUCAAUGUGUGCAGAUAUGAUUACUCUGGCUAUGGACAGUCAUCAGGGAAGGUAGUUACACUUCUGUCUGCUUUAUUUGAUUUUUUUGAUCUCAUCCGACAAAAGCAUCCUGAAAAACUUAUCUGGAUAUUUUUCACAGCCCAGUGAGCAUAAUACUUAUGCUGACAUUGAAGCUGCAUAUAAGUAUCUUGAAGAGAACUACGGUGCCAAACAGGAAGACAUAAUCCUUUAUGGUCAAUCUGUUGGAAGCGGCCCUACUUUGGAUCUUGCUGCCCGCUUACCCCGACUAAGGGCCAUUGUUCUCCACAGUCCUAUAUUAUCGGGCUUGAGAGUAAUGUACCCUGUGAAACGGACAUACUGGUUUGACAUUUAUAAGGUCAGAUCUUCAUUGUCCUGUGAUUUGGGAAUUAUUUAUUGUUGUUGCAGUUUGGUAUUUAUGUAUACUAGCCUACUACUGCCUUAACUUAGUUCUUUUUAUUGUUGUGCAGAACAUUGACAAAAUUCCCUUGGUGAAAUGUCCAGUGCUAGUAAUCCAUGUAAGUAUUCCAUGUUCAUUUUGUUGCAUUCUCCACAAACAAUUAUCAUGUUCUCUUAAUUUCUGUGGUUGCUGUAACUGGUAUAAAUCAACGUUUUCUGCAAUGGUUGUAGUGUUGAACUCAUUGCUCAGCUUUGUGUUCAAAUUGACCUGACAAAUAGAAUCUCUUUAAUGCAAAAAGCCUGCAUAUUGUUGUGUAGUAUCUGCAUUUUCCUGCUUACAAUUGUAAUGAAAAUCAUGAUAUCAAUUGAUAAAUAGAAUACAGUGGUUUUCGUAGCACAAGCUUGUUAAAACAAAAGGUUGGAGUCUGUUCAUUAUGGCAAAACAUCACAGCAUCAUUGUAGAAGAGAAAUCAACCUUUGUUUCUGAUAUAAACUUUUAAAAUUGUAUUCUUGUGAAUAUUAUAGAGGGUGAUCCUCGGCACAACGGUAUGGUUGUUUGCCUUGUGACCCAGAAGUCAUGAGUUCAAAUUCUAGAAACAACUUCUUUGCUUGUAAGGGUAAAGCUGUGUAAAUCUACCCUCCCUAGAUCCCACUAGUUGGAGCAUCGAGCACUAAGCCACCCUUUUUAUUCUUGUGAAUAUUAUAACAUAAUACAUUGCUUUUCUGUAGUUAUUUUUUUGGGCACAAAGCAUUUCAUAUAGCUUUCACUAAUUUGACAUUGUUCCCAUACUUUCUUCAGGGAACUGCUGAUGAGGUUGUUGAUUGCUCUCAUGGCAAGCAGUUGUGGGAGUUAUGUCAACAGAAAUAUGAACCUUUAUGGCUCAGAGGUGGAAAUCACUGUAAUUUAGAACUCUAUCCAGAAUAUCUUCGGCAUCUCAGAAAAUUCAUAUCAACAGUAGAGAAGUCACCAUCACAAAGACUAAGUUUUAGGAGAAGCAUUGAGCAAUCAAGAGGGAGUAUCGAUUUUUUCCAAACUCCAAGGAAGAGUACCGAUCAAAGGGACAAAUCAAGGAAGAGUACUGAUCGGAAGGACAAACCAAGGAAGAGUACUGAUAGGACAGACAAACUGAAAUUUCAUGAACACAAAGUCAACAAUCCAGAAAAUAUAGAGAAGUUUAGAGUCCAUUUUGACCAGAUGGAAAAGUCACGAAGAAGCAUAGGUUACGAUAAAUUGAGAACGAUCGAGUACCAAGAUAAAUCCAGGAGAAGCGUCGAUGUUCAGUUUGAUAGACCGCGGAAGAGUAUUGAUUGGCUGGAUAGAACUCGAGAUGGUUGAACCUUUUGAAGCAUCUGUAGUAUUGGUACUGGGUUUGCUACAUGUGAGGGGAAAGUACAAAGAUACAGGCACAAUUACUUAUACUGGGGGUAUAACUUAUGGUUUUCAGAAUGCAUACCACAUCUGUAAAUUUUCCGGAAUAGUUACAUUCUAAAAUUACAUACAUGAUUUUUUUAAAAUAUAAACUAUAUAUAUAGAUGUUUGAGAAUAUUUUUCUCCUAUUUAAAUUUUCUAAAUUUGACUCCAUGUAUUAAGAUUUUAAUAUAAUUAUAGGAAUAUGUUAUUUUUUCUUUUAAAUGUUGGAAAAAAAUACACAUAUGAUUUAUAUAUAUUAUAAAUGUUUGAGAAAAUUAUCUUCCUUCUCAAUUUGAUUCAAAUUAUUGGGAUUUCAAUUUGAUUUUAGAAAAGAAGAUGUUUUGUUUAAGUUGAGAAAAAUUACACAUACAUUAUUACUUUUAUUGAUAUAAACUAGAUAUAUUUUAUAGAUAUUUGAGAACAUUUUCCAUUCAAUACGUUUUUUGAUUUUGACUCAAAUUAUUGGAAUUUCAAUACAAUUUUAGGGUGAAAUUUUUGUUGUUCUAAAAGUUGAGAAAAUGGCACAUGGUGACUAUUUAAAUAUCAACUAUAUAUAUUAUAGAUGUUUGAUAGUAUUCUCUUUAAAUGUGUCUUAUGAAUUUGAUUUCAAUUAUUGGAAUUUAAAUAUAAUUUAUGAAAGAAGUUGAUUUUUUAUUUUAAAAGUUGAGGAAAAUGAUACAUACAUAAUUCUGUUUUUAAAUAACAAUUAUAUAUAAAUUUUAUAGAUGUUUGAGAAUAUUUUCUCUUUAAAUAUGCCUUACCAUUUUGAAUGGAAUUAUUGGUAUUUCAAUAUAAUUAUAAAAAAGAUAAUUUUCUCUUUUAAAAGUUGAAAAAAUGGUGCAGAGAUAAUUUAUUUUUAAAAUACCAACUGUGUCAUAAAUGUUUGAUAACAUUUCCCCUUUAAGCAUGUUCUAUCAAUCUCACUCCAUUUAUUAGAAUUCAAAUAUAUUUUAGGUAAAGAUAAUUAUUCUUUUAGAAAUUGAGAAAAAAUGGUAUACACAUAAUUUUUUUAAGAGUUUAAAAUCUAUACACUAUCGAUAUAUCACUCACCAUUGAUUUGUAAUAAUUUUGUUUGAAAGUCAAUACUAACUAACAAAUGGAUGAAGAGAUUUACCAAAGUAUAAAAAAUACUUACAUAUUAAAUCUUUUUUUUAACCCUUAAAACUGAAAUUAGAAAAUAAGUUCAGCAAACUCAAGUUGAGUUCACAUUGUUAAAAGCAAGAACAAAAUCACCCAUCUCAAAAUAAUAAUAAUAAGUGCCCAAAAAAAGAAGGAGAAGGAGAAAAGGAGUAAUGUGAAGUUGAAGUAGCUUUUUGUGUUGUGUCUCAUUGAACAGGAUCUUAGUUGUAAUAAUAAUGGGUGGAGUUACCUCAUCCAUGGCUUCAAAACUUGCAUUCUUCCCACCAAACCCACCUUCUUACAACCUUGUCAAAGAAGAAGUAACAAAGCUUUUGCUCUUAAACCCAUUCCCACACCGUGAAAACGUUCAAGUUCUCAAGUUCCAAAACCGUCG